CUUUACAUGUGGUAGCAGAUGAUUUAGUCUGAUGUUUAAAGCUGCUUUGUGUGUCGUAUAAUAUAAAUCAGAAUUAUUUGCUCGAUAAAGAAUUAGUAUUAUUCCAUUAAUUAAUUAAAUCCAAGGUGCCAAGUUGAGAAACGAUUGAUAACGGGAAGAGGGUGCAUAGUAAACAAUUAUGAAUACGGAUUUUAGUGCCAGAUUGUGAACCAUUAGAGGAAAUAGAAUUUAAAGUGUAUGAGGGUCAACCACCAGUUCUUCAUUAUUAUAUAUACAACGGUGCAAUAUGUGUAAUUUUUUGUCAGUAUUUUUAUCGAUUUCUCCAUUACGUAUGCCCACGCACCCUACUUCUGGCUCUGACUGAAAUUCGGGUGCAAAGGACAGUUUUGUUCAUGCUGUGAAUAGAGUUAUUCACAAACGUAUGUAAUUAUUGAGGCUUACGUGACAAUUUCAACGUUGUUACUGCUUGCAAAUGAUGAACGAAGAGUCAAUUUUGUCUCAGAAUGGCGCCUACGAUCAGUUGUGCUGUGUAAAAAUUGCACAUGUAUACAUUCGGCAAAUUUCUUUAGAAACGAUUGAAAUGUGAUCAUUGUUGCAAAGAGCGAAAUUUACUGUUGCAACUGCAUGCCUUGUUUCAUAAGUCUAUGUACGGAAGUUCACCCACCACUGGAUUUCAAACAAUGCUGUGAACGGCGAUUGAAGACAUGGGCAGUGCUAAGUCAAACACAGUGGAAGAGGGCGAGGGAUCUGUCAUGCAAUGAUAUGUGGCUGCCAAAGAAAGUUAAGUGCAGAAAAAUGCUGCUCUUCUCUGGUGCAUGUUUUUGGAAGUGGCAACCCUGCAGGCUUGCCUAGGCGCAAUAUCUUUGACCUUGGUCUAUAAGCUGCUUCUAGUCCAAGCGGCACAUCGAUGCAACUGUUCAGUCGUGAGUUGUGCUGUUAAUAAUUUAACACCUGUUUGUGUGUCUCAUCACGGAAAUGGAACCACGUAAUAUUGUGCAACGGUAUGCCAUUUCUUUUUGCGUUAAAUUGGGUGAAAAUGCGACUACUUACAGUAAGCUUCAGAAGGCUUUGUCAUGACCUCAAAGGGAUCACCCAACCAAAAAAACUCGCAUGUCAAAGUCAAAAUUGAAAUGCAUGCUUAUGUGCUUCUUUUAUUCCAACGGAACUGUUCAUAAAGAGUGAGUGCUUCCUGGACAAACAGUUAACCAAUAUUACUACAAAGAAAUUUUAGAAAGACGUCGUAAAAGAGUUCCUCAUGUCCAUGUCAACAUUGCUGAUAAUUGCAUUCUGCAUCACAAUAAUGCGCUAUCCCAUACUGCUCUGUCAGUGCAGCAAUUUUUAACCUCCAAACAAAUUUCAGUACUACCACAGCCACCUUAUUCACCAGAUAUCGCUCCAUGCUACUUUUCUCUAUUUCUAAGAGUCAAAACAGCAGUCAAGGGACACCAUUUUCAAACAACACAAGAUUUCCAAAAACCUGUGAUAACGGUGUUGGAGGAUAUCACAGAAGAUGAGUUCCAGAAAUGUUACAUCAAUGUCAGAAGUGCUGGAAAAAGUGUGUGCAAUCAGAAGGGAGCUACUUUAGAGAAGACAACACUAAACUUGACUAAAACAGUAAGCAACAAUUUUUUUUUUUUUUUUUGCCCCCACAUCAGUCUCAUUACUUUGUCACACAUCGUAUUUGAAGAUUCAUGUCCAUAAUUACUAAGAAUGAAAGUUGUUUCAAUAGACAAAAUUAGUUAUGAAAAACAAAUAUAAAUGACCACAAUGCUGACAACGUUUUGUUUCCUGUGCUUCACUUUGGCAAUUCAAUUCCGAUCUCUCAGUAACAGUUGGAGUGUGAUGUGCAUUGUUUCAUGACAGAUUAAAGAUGACAAAAUGGCAGUAUAUGCUCACUGCUGCAUUGCAAGAAAAGUAAAUUUUUUAGCAUGUGAUACAGGACUUGCAAUUCAUAAGAGACCUUUGAAUUUACUUGCAAUAAUUAUGCAUAAAAAUCAACAAAUACAGCUUUUUUACUUAUAAUAUGUAAUGCAGUCAGAUUCUGAUGCUCAUUGCACCAUUCGUAACACUAAGUUAUGCACAUGUCAUGGAGCAACAUCCAAAUUCAAGUAAACAUAAAAAACCAGAAAUUGCUGUUGUGUCAUCCAAAAGCAUAACUUCAUUUUUCUAGCCAAAUUCAGCAACAGACUGAAUUGCAGUUGGCUGGGAUUGAAAGCGCCUGUGCUUACCAUAUGGCUAAAGAAAAUGAUAGUUUUUGCUCAAAUGACACUGCUUUGAAUAGAAAUUCUCUCUGUUACACAAAGACUGAAGCCAUUGUUUCGAACAUAUCUACCCCUCCUUGUGAAAUGUUACAAAAAGAGUGACAAGAAGUCAGUUAUGUUAUAGUGUUAGAUGCUUCCAAUCAUAGAGGGAGGGAGAGAGAGAGAUUUUUCUGUUACGAUAGGUACUUUUUACCAUUACAUGGUGUCCAUGUCAGAAUUUUUGAUCCUGAUGGACGUUCUGGCAAAACAGCAGAUACUGUUACCAACUACCUGACUGAUGUGCUUGGGGAAAAAAAAAAAAAACUAAUGCUUUGUGGUAAUAAUACCAAUAGUUCUUGGUUGGAGCAGCAUGUAACAGAACAAGAAAUAUUUUUCACAAACUUAAAAUGGUAUAGAAUUUGUGAAUUUUUUGGGGUUUAAUGCGAUAUAGCGCACAACACGAUUAAGACUGCUGCAGAUUGUAUACCUAUUGAUGUACAAAUGGUUAUUCACAAAAUUUACCGUCAUUUUCACACAAACACCCCAUAGAACAGGGCUGGCCACACAGUGUCUAACUUAACGUGUGUACAAUGUGAAGGCCAAGGUCGAGCCUGCAACUUGACUUUAAUAGGAAAUACCCAGAACAGCAUGACAUUUCAUUUAGUAUUGUGGUGCUGCAUUUUGCAGUCGGUACAACUCUCAGACUUUGGCAGAAUCAUGGUGUCAGCACUGUUUACACUUUGCUAUUUGUUCGUGGUAUGAAUGACGUGCAGGUCUAGUGGCUGUUUGCACAAAAAUGCAGUCUAGCAAUCAAUGAUCACAAUCCUUUAAAAUAAAUGCGAGUAACAGGGAAUUUAAACCUUUCAAUGACAAUUAAAGAGAAAGAAAUUAUAGAAGCACUUUGUGCUAAAUUUGCAGGCAUUUAGCACUUCAAGAAACUGGUGGUAUGAAUAUUAAACAUUUUUAAAGUCACUCCCAUUAUUCUAUUUUCCUUUGCAACAGUUUUCAAUGGAAAUGAAGCAUGUACAUAAGACUCGCAUUACAAGCAGUGUGCUGUUAUUGAAUUAUUGUGUGCAGUGUGUGGCAAUGCUGCAGUUGAUAGGACUACAAUUGGGCAAUGGAUAAAGACAGUUACAACCUCAGGAUAUGCAGAAAUAGAGCUCUGUGAUCAGCCAUGCUCGAGAUGUCCUGUCACAACCACUGCUCCAGACAUACUGAAUUGCACAGAUGCCACCUGGCACAUCAUAACUCCACAAUUGAGUCUACAGUUUUCUGUCAGCAUUGGAAGUGGUUCUGCAAUGAUUGAGACUCUUGGAUUUUCAAAGUGAUGCUCACAGCGAACCAUAAGAUUCAAAGAAAGGCCAUUUCAUCUGAAUUGUUCGAGUGUUUUGAGACAGAUGGAGAGGACUUUCUGUCACGGAUCGUUAUGGGGUACCAAAGUUGGUACACCGCUUUCCACCGGAAACAAAAAGGCAGUCCUUGGAGUGGCAUCAUCCUCAUUCACCACAAAAGAAGAAAUUCAAGACAACCUCCCUGCUGCCAGAAAAGUCAUGGUGACAGUCUUCUGGGAUUGUUGUGUCAUUCUCAUGGAUGUGAUGUCAAAAUGGUCAACAAUCAAUUCUGAGGCCUACAUGAAGACUCUCAAGAACCGUUUCUGCCAUGUUCAACUGAACAAGAAUCCAGCAGGAAAUCUUGCUCCAACACGAUAAUGCAUGCCCACACACAAUUCUGAGAACCUGGGAACACAUCGCCAAAUUGGGUUGGACAUCACUGCCUCAUCCACCCCACAGUCCAGACCUGGCACCCUCGGACUUCCAUCUCUUUGGGCCACUUAAAGAAUCUCUAUGGGGUACAUACUUUGAAGAUGACAAAGAGUGUCAGUCAAGCAAUGAAAACAUGGCUAUGCCUACAGGACAAGAGCUUAUACCAGCAGGGAAUAUGUGCUCUUCCACAGCAUUGGCGUAUAGCAAUACAACGUGAUGAAGACUAUGUAGAAAAAUAGUACAUGGACAAGACAUGUUGAUGUAUAUUGUCACCAAAUUCUGACUCUUAACAAUAAAUAUGUUCCGAGAAAAAAAAGUGGGGUAUUACUUUCUCAAGGACCGUUGUAUUGUGUCAAGGAGGCACACCUGGGACGAUUUUUUAACUUUGAUCUCCCAACUGUUGAAUUUAUGAAGAAAAACAGAGUGCAAGAACAAAAAUUAGGACAUCUGUAGUGGAUAGCAGACUUCAUAUUUUAAGUAGACUUGCCCACUCUAAGACACUGGGCGGUAACUUCCUCCUGAUUUGAUGGGGAUGCAUUUAAAAAGAAAAUCGCUUUGUAGAAGCAAUCCAGUUUCCUAAGCUCACUGGCAUUAAAGAAAGUGCAAGGUUUGAUGAAUUCAUUGUGGCUUUGAAAGAAUUACAACAGUUUUAUAAAGGGUUUGGUGACAAUGACAAUCUUACAUCUGUUUUCAAGAGCAUUUGCUGUUUCAACUGAAAGUGCCCCUUUGCAUGUGCAGAUGUAACUGUCCAGGACGUCUUCAUUUUACAAGUCUCCAUAAUGAGGUUGCAAAACUGCUACAAUAUUUCAAUCAACAUUUGUGUUAAAGGUCAUUUUUUGAUUAUGAAGCUAAAUAAGUCAUGAUUAGAUGGCAACUUGAGUGCAAACCUCUAAAGUGUCUGCGCCUGUACCAGAUAAAAUUAUACAU
Schistocerca cancellata (South American locust) is the source of this 4930-nucleotide long non-coding RNA. RefSeq lists it as uncharacterized. NCBI's taxonomy places the organism in Eukaryota, Metazoa, Arthropoda, Insecta, Orthoptera, Acrididae. The transcript has 3 exons. The record is from RefSeq and is a predicted model, not a curated record.